This 419-nucleotide ribosomal RNA is filed under the name uncultured microorganism. RNAcentral's name for it is "bacterial SSU rRNA". It matches the Rfam family "Bacterial small subunit ribosomal RNA", at positions 9 to 426 of the family's 1533-position model. The record is from RNAcentral.
GAGUUUGAUCAUGGCUCAGAUUGAACGCUGGCGGCAUGCCUUACUCAUGCAAGUCGAACGGCAGCAUGAUCUAGCUUGCUAGAUUGAUGGCGAGUGGCGAACGGGUGAGUAAUACAUCGGAACGUGCCCUGUAGUGGGGGAUAACUAGUCGAAAGAUUAGCUAAUACCGCAUACGACCUGAGGGUGAAAGUGGGGGACCGCAAGGCCUCAUGCUAUAGGAGCGGCCGAUGUCUGAUUAGCUAGUUGGUGGGGUAAAGGCCCACCAAGGCGACGAUCAGUAGCUGGUCUGAGAGGACGAUCAGCCACACUGGGACUGAGACACGGCCCAGACUCCUACGGGAGGCAGCAGUGGGGAAUUUUGGACAAUGGGCGAAAGCCUGAUCCAGCAAUGCCGCGUGUGUGAAGAAGGCCUCGGUUGU